GACGAACGCUGGCGGCGUGCUUAACACAUGCAAGUCGAACGGGCCCGCUCUCUUUUUUGGGGGCGGGUUGAGUGGCGAACGGGUGAGUAUCACGUGAGUAACCUGCCCCCUGCUCCUGGAUAACUGCUUGAAAGGGCGGCUAAUACGGGGUGUGCCGGCUGGUCCGCAUGGGCCUGGUCGGGAUAGUUUCAUCUUCGGGUGUUUCGGUGGGGGAUGGGCUCGCGGCCUAUCAGCUUGUUGGUGGGGUGAUGGCCCACCAAGGCGGUGACGGGUAGCCGGCCUGAGAGGGUGGGCGGCCACACUGGGACUGAGACACGGCCCAGACUCCUGCGGGAGGCAGCAGUGGGGGGUAUUGCACAAUGGGCGGAAGCCUGAUGCAGCGACGUCGCGUGAGGGAUGGAGGCCUUCGGGUUGUGAACCUCUUUCUCCGGUGGUGAAGGCCCUGUCCGUUGCGGCGGGGUUGACGGUAGCCGGGUAUGAAGCGCCGGCUAACUACGUG
RNAcentral lists this ribosomal RNA (499 nucleotides) under uncultured bacterium. RNAcentral describes it as "partial 16S ribosomal RNA". It matches the Rfam family "Bacterial small subunit ribosomal RNA", at positions 28 to 507 of the family's 1533-position model. The record is from RNAcentral.